This 5078-nucleotide long non-coding RNA is filed under the name Homo sapiens (human). Its description in RNAcentral is "HSALNT0360118". The record is from RNAcentral. Lineage: Eukaryota; Metazoa; Chordata; Mammalia; Primates; Hominidae.
GCCUCCGCGCCGCUCUGUGCUUAGGUGGCCGCGAGGCCGCCUCGACCCAGGGGAGCAGGAAGGAAGCCCGGGAGCGCCCUGCACCUGUGCCUGCCUCUGCGCACCUCCCCAAGAGCCAGGGCCAACGAGGGGUCCCCUCACCCUCAAAUCUACCUCCUCAGAGAGGCUGGUCCUCCCGGGCCUGCCGCGAUCCCUCGGGGUGGUCUCGAAAACCUGAUGUCUUAUAUCCAGCUGCUCUUAAGAAAGAGUCUUUCUGGAGCAGACAGCGAGGGGAGCUGCACUCAGCCACUGGAAUGCAGGUGACAGCUGAUGGGCACAGGACCUCAGGUGCAGCCUUAAGUAUGUUCUGUUCCAUUUGCAGAAAGUUCAGAAAGCCUCAGCCUUUCCUCAGAAAACCUGGAAGAUGCAAUGCCCUGGCUGAUUUGGACUUGUAUGCCUUACCUGUGAGCAAGUCAUCUCCUGGGAACACCUCUAAUUUUUAAGAUUCCAAUGAUGCCACCACCUGACAUGUUUUUAACCACACAGUCCCAGGAUCCAGGCCAUGGGAUGCUUGCUAAUGGGGCCUUGGGGAGCUGAAUUUAGAGGCUGAGUAUCCUCUGAUGGGGUCAGGGAGGAAAGGAUUUGGUUGCACCUCCAGCUUGCACAGGGCUCCCGACCAGCCCGGCCCAGCCUCCUCUGUACUAUGCUCUAGCUUAUGAGGCCUCCUGGUUCCACCCACCACCUGGCAGGGCCAACCUCUUUGUUCUCCUUGCCUCGUGGGGAUAAGGAGAACCUCACUAAGUCAUCCAGUUCGAGGAGACCCAGAUGUGGAGUCAGCCCCCAUUCUACUCUGCCACCCCACCCUCCCCACCUGGGGGAGUGACAAUCUCUGGGACCUGAACUCGGUGACUCCACCUAACCCCAAACUUCAAGAACAUCGGUGGCUGAGAGCCCAGGAUCUCCUUCCCACAAAGCCACAUGUUCUACUAGCCAGACUUGGGGUCUGAGGUUUGAGAGACAGUCGCUCUGCCCUCUCAGGUCACCACUCCAACUUUCCUCCAGCCGUCCCUUUUUCCUACCCACGGCCCUGUGCUUAUUCAGGCCCAAAGCCAGGGAGACCACAGGUCAGGAUCUCACAAGUAUUGCAAUCCUAGUGCAUUCUUGUCCUAUGUAAAAUUUUCGAUCUUUUCCUAAAACCGAUUUAUUUUCCGUUUUAUUAUCCUGAAAUGUAAUUGGUCUUCUCCUCUUUCAAGUAUAGCUAUUCACUAGCCCAUACUUAUAAACUUGUACCCUUCAGAAAGGAUUUCUUGUUCUCUUUCUUGUAUUUUCUCAUUUUACCUUGAAAGUGCAGCCUUAUCUUCUGUAUUCCCACAGGCAGUGCUGAGAACACCCAAUAAGGUGCACCCAACAGAAACAUUUUAUGCUGUUUGUCAGUUGCUUGUUUGGGGAGAAGGGGCCACAGAUGGGUAAAUUUUCUUGGCUUUUCUUGCUUAACUACACGUAACUUUCUAGGGUGGGUUUUCAUUAUAACAUGAAUCUCUGCAAACAUUUUUAGGCACCAGCCAGCAAAGAUACAUACACUGUCUUCUCUUCUCCCUUUUGCACAGUGAUCUUGGUGGCACCCACUUUGGGGAGGGUUGGAUUUAUCACAUUGUUAUUCCAAAGAAACUUGACUUUCUCAAUUGUUCCAACAUCCAGCUUUGCAUCAAACUCAUAGGAAUGGGUUGAGCCUGGUUUGAGAAUCCCCCUUGAAAUAGAGAAACAUAAACAUCCCUGUUCACGGAAAUGAGUUCUAAUUACCAUACAAUGCCAGGCUGCUGUUUUCUCUUCUAGAUUAACAGGAUUAUUUUUCCGAAUUAAUUUCCAAAUAAAGGAUGGAGAAAUGGAAAAGCCAGCUAUAUGCUAGCACCUCAAACUAUGGUUUUUAAAACUCAAGUUAAUUUUUCCUUAAAGCUUUCUAAUAGAAAAUAAAAUAGAAUUCCUGCAUAUCAUUUUAUAUGUUUUGGAAGAAUUAUUUGUACAGUAACAAAUUGGCCACAUAGUAUGGCACAAUAAGCAUGUGUUAUUGCACUAAUCAGAAAACAGCAUAUCUGAAGUAAUAUUAGAUUUAUGUUUAAAAAAACAUCUAUUAAGAGAAAGAGGCCGGGCAUGGUGGCUCACGUCUGUAAUCCCAGCACUUUGAGAGGCCGAGAUGGGUGGAUCACUUGAGGUCAGAAGUUCGAGACCAGCCUGGCCAACAUGGCAAAACGCCCCCCAUCUCUACUAAAAAUACAAAAAUCAGCCAGGUGUGGUGGCACAUGCCUGUAAUCUCAGCUACUUGGGAGGCUGAGGCACGAGAAUUUCUUGAACCCGGGAGGCGGAGGUUGCAAUGAGCCAAGAUCGUGCCACUGCACUCCAGCCUGGGUGACAGAGCAAAGACUCUUUCUCAAAAAAAAAAAAAAAAAAAAAAAAGAGAGAGAAAGGACGAAAUGCCUAGGUUUAUAACAGAAAAGAAAAAUUAUUAGCAGAAGUCUGCAAUUAACAUCAGUACAUAAAGUUAUAUAGUCCUGCGUUGCUUAACAAUGGAGAUAUGUUCUGAGAAAUGUGUCCUUAGGUAAUUUAAUCAUUGUGUGGACAUCAUAGCAUGUACUCACACAAACGUAGAUGGCACAGCCUACUACAUACCUAGGCUGUAUGGUACAGCCUAUUGCUCCUAGGUUACAAACCUGUACUACAUGUUACUGUAUUGAGUUCUGUAGACAACUGGAACACAAUGGUAAGUAUUUGUGUAUCUAAACACCCAAACAUAGAAAAAGUACAGUAAAAAUAUGGUAUUACAAGCUUAUAAAGCAACUGUUGUGUAUGUGGUCCAUCAACUAAAAUGUUGUUACAUGUUGCAUGACUAUAAUUAAAAACCAGUGACAUAUAAAGAGAUGAUAAGUGUUCAAAUUAAGUGUGUGGUUUGAAGGCUGUGUAUAUCAUCAAAUGAGACGUAGUGUUAAAAUAGGAAAUUACCUGAAGAUACUGUACUGGUGAGUGUUUCCCUUAUUUCCAAACAAAGCAACUUUGAUCUGACCAGUGGCUGUUCUUCCAGACAGUGUGAUGGAAACCCCAUAUCUCCAGCCUGCACAGGAGAUGGAAGAGUUCAAUUUAUUCACACACAAAAUAAGUAGCCUACAUCCCAGACUUGUCUCCUUCUCUUACUCUGAGGCAACAAAGCAUAAGAAAUUCUUUUCUAAAAAAUUAUUAUUAUUAUUUUUUGAGAUGGGGUCUCACUCUGUCACCCAGGCUGGAGUGUAGUGGUGCAAUCUUGGCUCACUGCCACCUCUGCCUCCCAGGUUCAAGUAAUUCUUCUGCCUCAACCUCCCUAGUAGCUGGGACUACAGGCACACACCAUCACGCCUGGCUAAUUUUUGUAUUUUUAGUAGAGACAGAGUUUCGCCAUGUUGGUCAAGCUGGUCUCCAACUCCUGACCUCAAGUGAUCCGCCCGUGUCCGCCUCCCAAAGUGAUGGGAAUACAGGCGUGAGCCACCACACCCAGCCAAAGUAUAAGAAAUUCUAUUUGUUAAUCUACAAAUCAAACAAGGCCUUAUGGAGAAGUAUGUAUUUAGCAGUAUCCCCCUCUAGAACUGCAUUGCCCAGGGAGGAGGUCACCAGCCACAUGUGGCUGCUUACAUUUAAAUCCAAAUUAAAUACAAUUAAAAAUUUAGUUUCUCAAACUCAUUCGCUGUGUUGCAAAUGUUAAGUUGCCACAUGAGGCUAAUGGCUACACAGAAUAUGCCCCUCAUUGCAGAAAGUUCUGUUAGCCAGCUCUGCCCCAGAAUGGCAGUACAGUAAGGUAAGGUGAAGAGAGAGGGAAUAGGGGCUUGUCUCCACAUUUGGGAAGGUAGCUCGGGAGUGCAGCCUGGCAAGCACCUCGAGGGCGGGGACUGUGUUUCCUCUCUGCUCCCCAGGGCCCUGGGCAGUCUCUAGCACAGAGCAGGUGCACGAGCAGCUGUCACUUAGGCUUCUACCUGAAAUGCUGUCCCAGGGCCUGCAUGCACACGCACACAAAUACAAAUACAUAUACACAAACAUAUGCAUGUGCGUGCACACACACAAAUACAUAUACACAAACAUAUGCAUGUGCACACACAAUACAUAUACACAAACAUGCAUGUGCGUGCACAUACACAAAUACAUAUACACAACAUGUGCAUGUGCACACACACAUACAUCUACACAAACAUGCAUGUGUAUGUGCACACACACACAAACCUACACACAUUUAACCACGCACAUACAUAGACACCCACAUACAAAUAUACAUACACAUGCACAUACAUAUACAUAAACAUACAGACUCAUAUACAUACGUAUAUAAACACAUGCAUACACACAAAGGUACAUACACAAACACACUCACACAUGCAUUCAUACACCCACACAUGUGCACAGAUGUACAUUAAUAUACACAGACAUGAUUCUUGCCUAACUCCUAUUCAUCUUUCGUGUCUUCAGAGACCUUGACCCUGACCCUCCUUCUGGUCAGGGCCAGGUUCUCUGUCCCAUAAUGUCAUGGCAACAGCCACCAAGCCCAACACGCUUGUAGUUGCUUGCCCAGUUUCUGUCUUUGGCUGGAUUAUUAAUUUCAUGAGAGGAGUCUCUUGUUCGUCCCUGCAUCCUCAGUGUCUAGCAUAGUCUGUGGCCCAUAAAUAAAUGUUGAUUGAGGAAUGAAUACCUGGUUUUUGAGUGUUUAAUUUGUUGUUGAAAUAUUGGCAAGUAUUUCAUGCAUCACAACAUCAGUGGAAGGAUUGAUUAAUCAAUGUCUUCUUACAAAAAAAAUACACAGAGUGGGCCGGGUGCGGUGGCUCACGCCUGUAAUCCCGGCACUUUGGGAGGCCGAGGCAGGCGGAUCACAAGGUCAGGAGAUCGAGACCAUCCUGGCUAACAUGGUGAAACCCCGUCUCUACUAAAAAUGUAAAAAAAAAAUUAGCCUGGCAUGGUGGCGGGCGCCUGUAGUCCCAGCUACUCGGGAGGCUGAGGCAGGAGAAUGGCGUGAACCCGGGAGGGGGAGGUUGUAGUGAGCCAAGAUUGCGCCUCUGCACUCCAGCCUGGGCGACACAGCGAGACUCCGUCUC